AGGGUUUGAUCCUGGCUCAGAUUGAACGCUGGCGGCAGGCCUAACACAUGCAAGUCGAGCGGUAGAGAGAAGCUUGCUUCUCUUGAGAGCGGCGGACGGGUGAGUAAUGCCUAGGAAUCUGCCUGGUAGUGGGGGAUAACGUUCGGAAACGAACGCUAAUACCGCAUACGUCCUACGGGAGAAAGCAGGGGACCUUCGGGCCUUGCGCUAUCAGAUGAGCCUAGGUCGGAUUAGCUAGUUGGUGAGGUAAUGGCUCACCAAGGCGACGAUCCGUAACUGGUCUGAGAGGAUGAUCGGUCACACUGGAACUGAGACACGGUCCAGACUCCUACGGGAGGCAGCAGUGGGGAAUAUUGGACAAUGGGCGAAAGCCUGAUCCAGCCAUGCCGCGUGUGUGA
This 398-nucleotide ribosomal RNA is filed under the name uncultured Pseudomonas sp. Its description in RNAcentral is "bacterial SSU rRNA". It matches the Rfam family "Bacterial small subunit ribosomal RNA", at positions 8 to 408 of the family's 1533-position model. Lineage: Bacteria; Pseudomonadati; Pseudomonadota; Gammaproteobacteria; Pseudomonadales; Pseudomonadaceae. The record is from RNAcentral.